This 213-nucleotide unclassified non-coding RNA is filed under the name plant metagenome. RNAcentral describes it as "partial contains small subunit ribosomal RNA, internal transcribed spacer 1, and 5.8S ribosomal RNA". The record is from RNAcentral.
UUUCCGUAGGUGAACCUGCGGAAGGAUCAUUCAUAAUAAGUGUUUUAUGGCACUUUUUUAAAUCCAUAUCCACCUUGUGUGCAAUGUCAGGGUUGCUUUUUCUCUCGAGAGGAUCGGCCCCAAACAUCAACUAUAUCUCAACUCUUUGUCUGAAAAAUAUUAUGAAUAAAACAAUUCAAAAUACAACUUUCAACAACGGAUCUCUUGGCUCUC